Non-coding RNA from Nostoc calcicola FACHB-389, 77 nucleotides. NCBI's taxonomy places the organism in Bacteria, Bacillati, Cyanobacteriota, Cyanophyceae, Nostocales, Nostocaceae. The record is from Rfam.
UUGUGUGUGAGGAGCAAGUUUAAGAAUAAAAAGCGUUUGGGGUGGAAACACGGCAACACUCCCAGGCGCUUUUUAAU